RNAcentral lists this ribosomal RNA (463 nucleotides) under uncultured bacterium. RNAcentral describes it as "partial 16S ribosomal RNA". It matches the Rfam family "Bacterial small subunit ribosomal RNA", at positions 28 to 507 of the family's 1533-position model. The record is from RNAcentral.
GACGAACGCUGGCGGCACGCCUAACACAUGCAAGUCGAACGGAAUUACAAGAGCUUGCUUUUUUAAGUUAGUGGCGGACGGGUGAGUAACACGUGAGUAACCUGCCCCUGAGUGGGGGAUAGCUUCUGGAAACUGAGGGUAAUACCACAUAAAAUAUACUUCUGGAAUGAUAGAUUUAUCAAGGUAAUUCGCUCAGAGAUGGACUCGCGUCUGAUUAGCUAGUUGGUGAGGUAGCGGCUCACCAAGUCGAGGAUCAGUAGCCGGACUGAGAGGUUGAACGGCCACAGUUGGACUAAGGCACAGCCCAGACUCCUACGGGAGGGAGGAGUAGAGAAUAUAGCACAAUGGAGGGAGCUCUGAUGCAGCGACGCCGGGUAGAGGAAGAAGUUGGUCGGAAUGUACACUCCUUUUAUCAGAGGCGAUAAUGACGGUACCUGAAGAAAAAGCACCGGCUAACUACGUG